This 64-nucleotide transfer RNA is filed under the name Lygodactylus capensis (Cape dwarf gecko). RNAcentral's name for it is "tRNA-Trp". The record is from RNAcentral. Lineage: Eukaryota; Metazoa; Chordata; Lepidosauria; Squamata; Gekkonidae.
AAGUUUAGGUUCACCAAACCGAGAGCCUUCAAAGCCCUAAACAGAACCAACGUUCUAACUUCUG